CGCCGUGUACAGAGACGGUGCGAGAACCGGAGGUGCGGGAGAGUAAGGAGCCCUCCCAUCAGUUAGUAAGUAGGGUAAGGGCCUACUUAGACGAAGACGGGUACGGGGAAUUAGAGUUCGAUUCCGGAGAGGGAGCCUGAGAGACGGCUACCAGGUCCAAGGACAGCAGCAGGCGCGCAAAUUACCGAAGCCCCGCGUUUCGGGGCGGGUAGUAAAGGAGACGUGUAAAGCGAUGUGCAGGUAAAAUAUGCACUGGUUAACAGGGAGUAAAGACUGGUGCAGCAUCCCGCGGGAAUACAGCUCCUGGAGUGUCUAUGAUGAUUGCUGCAGUAAAGAGUUCGUAGUCCGGGCUGCGUGACUGGGGUUAAGGCCCGCUAUCGAGGCGGGCAGUGCGCCAUAAAAGCAAAGGAUGAAGAAGCGGCCGGGGGCCAGGUUAUAAGCGACGAGAGGUGAAAUUUGAUGACUCGCUUAGGAGCAGCGAAGCGAAAGCGCUGGCCAGGGCGAAUCCGAUGAUAAGGACGU
RNAcentral lists this ribosomal RNA (522 nucleotides) under Trachipleistophora hominis. Its description in RNAcentral is "partial small subunit ribosomal RNA". It matches the Rfam family "Microsporidia small subunit ribosomal RNA", at positions 126 to 639 of the family's 1311-position model. Lineage: Eukaryota; Fungi; Microsporidia; Pleistophoridae. The record is from RNAcentral.